GCGCCAUAUAAGUACCCCAGCCUCCCUGUACUGUGGGACAAUGAGGUCAUCUAAUGACAGUGCAGCUGCAGAAGCAAUAUUGAUUGCUUCUUCUCCAAGGGAGGUCAAAUAGAAGGAAAUUCUUCCUUGCCUUUGCGCUUCAUAGAAGAUCGUGUCCAUUGUUUGGAGGGUAACCAUGUCAUUGUACAUCUUCAUAGCAAUCUCUUUGCUCACCUGCGUAAAAUUACUGUACAUACUAGGCUGGCCAUUGUCAUCAAGAACACGAAAGCAGGGUAUCCGCUCCUCCUCCCGAUCUGGGAUGAAACUCAGUUUAGGAGUAAAUUUAACCUUUCCUCCUGGGAACUCCAAAACCUGAUUGUCACGAUCAUCGUUGACAGAAGCCACUUGCUUUCCCA
This 395-nucleotide unclassified non-coding RNA is filed under the name Hevea brasiliensis (rubber tree). The record is from RNAcentral. Lineage: Eukaryota; Viridiplantae; Streptophyta; Magnoliopsida; Malpighiales; Euphorbiaceae.